This 433-nucleotide ribosomal RNA is filed under the name uncultured bacterium. RNAcentral's name for it is "partial 16S ribosomal RNA". It matches the Rfam family "Bacterial small subunit ribosomal RNA", at positions 29 to 507 of the family's 1533-position model. The record is from RNAcentral.
AACGAACGCUGGCGGCAUGCCUAACACAUGCAAGUCGAACGAGACCUUCGGGUCUAUUGGCGCACGGGUGCGUAACGCGUGGGAACCUGCCCUUAGGUUCGGAAUAACUCCCAGAAAGGGGUGCUAAUACCGGAUAAUGUCUUCGGACCAAAGAUUUAUCGCCUUUGUGUGGGCCCUCGUUGGAUUAGCUAGUUGGUAGGGUAAAAGCCUACCAAGGCGACGAUCAAUACCUGGUCUGAGAGGAUGAUCAGCCACACUGGGACUGAGACACGGCCCAGACUCCUACGGGAUGCAGCAGUGGGUAAUAUUGCACAAUGGGCUAAAGCCUGAUCCAGCAAUGCCGCGUGAGUGAUGAAGGCCUUAGGGUUGUAAAGCUCUUUUACCCGUGAUGAUCUUGACAGUACCGGGAGAAUAAGCUCCGGCUAACUCCGUG